AUGAACUUAGUACAAAGGUAGUAUGUUGGAUUCCAAAUCCAGAGAUGUGGGUUCGAUCCCUACAGUUCGUG
RNAcentral lists this transfer RNA (71 nucleotides) under Lactobacillus crispatus. RNAcentral's name for it is "tRNA-Trp". It matches the Rfam family "tRNA". From Rfam's summary of the family: Transfer RNA (tRNA) molecules are approximately 80 nucleotides in length. RNAcentral also lists the same sequence under 1 other name. The record is from RNAcentral. Lineage: Bacteria; Bacillati; Bacillota; Bacilli; Lactobacillales; Lactobacillaceae.